This 505-nucleotide ribosomal RNA is filed under the name uncultured bacterium. RNAcentral's name for it is "bacterial SSU rRNA". It matches the Rfam family "Bacterial small subunit ribosomal RNA", at positions 8 to 502 of the family's 1533-position model. The record is from RNAcentral.
AGAGUUUGAUCCUGGCUCAGAUUGAACGCUGGCGGCAGGCUUAACACAUGCAAGUCGAGCGGUAACAGAGAGUAGCUUGCUACUUUGCUGACGAGCGGCGGACGGGUGAGUAAUGCUUGGGAAUAUGCCUUUGAGUGGGGGACAACAGUUGGAAACGACUGCUAAUACCGCAUAACGUCUACGGACCAAAGGGGGGGAUCUUCGGACCUCUCGCUCAUUGAUUAGCCCAAGUGAGAUUAGCUAGUUGGUAAGGUAAUGGCUUACCAAGGCGACGAUCUCUAGCUGGUUUGAGAGGAUGAUCAGCCACACUGGGACUGAGACACGGCCCAGACUCCUACGGGAGGCAGCAGUGGGGAAUAUUGCACAAUGGGCGAAAGCCUGAUGCAGCCAUGCCGCGUGUGUGAAGAAGGCCUUCGGGUUGUAAAGCACUUUCAGUUGUGAGGAAAGGUGUGUAGUUAAUAACUGCAUACCGUGACGUUAGCAACAGAAGAAGCACCGGCUAACU